Coregonus clupeaformis (lake whitefish) is the source of this 140-nucleotide small nucleolar RNA. RefSeq annotates it as small nucleolar RNA SNORA57. Lineage: Eukaryota; Metazoa; Chordata; Actinopteri; Salmoniformes; Salmonidae. The record is from RefSeq and is a predicted model, not a curated record. The transcript has a single exon.
CCUCCAUUCUUGGCAUGCACACUGUUCAUCUGUACUCGUGUGUGUGUGUGUGUUAUGGAGGGAGAACAAGUCCAGUGCUAUGUCUUCGGUGCGAGAAUGUUCCCCGUCUUCUGGUUCUAUCCUCAAUCGCAGGGACAUUC